This 532-nucleotide ribosomal RNA is filed under the name Limnohabitans sp. Jir72. RNAcentral's name for it is "bacterial LSU rRNA". It matches the Rfam family "Bacterial large subunit ribosomal RNA", at positions 2407 to 2925 of the family's 2925-position model. The record is from RNAcentral. Lineage: Bacteria; Pseudomonadati; Pseudomonadota; Betaproteobacteria; Burkholderiales; Comamonadaceae.
AGGACAUAGUGAUCCGGUGGUUCUGUAUGGAAGGGCCAUCGCUCAACGGAUAAAAGGUACUCUGGGGAUAACAGGCUGAUACCGCCCAAGAGUUCAUAUCGACGGCGGUGUUUGGCACCUCGAUGUCGGCUCAUCUCAUCCUGGGGCUGUAGCCGGUCCCAAGGGUAUGGCUGUUCGCCAUUUAAAGAGGUACGUGAGCUGGGUUUAAAACGUCGUGAGACAGUUUGGUCCCUAUCUUCCGUGGGCGCUGCAGAUUUGAGGAAGCCUGCUCCUAGUACGAGAGGACCGGAGUGGACACACCUCUGGUGUAUCGGUUGUCACGCCAGUGGCAUUGCCGAGUAGCUAAGUGUGGAAGAGAUAACCGCUGAAAGCAUCUAAGCGGGAAACUCGUUUCAAGAUGAGAUCUGCCGGGGCCUUGAGCCCCCUAAAGAGUCGUUCAAGACCAGGACGUUGAUAGGUCGGGUGUGGAAGCGCAGUAAUGCGUUAAGCUAACCGAUACUAAUUGCUCGUGCGGCUUGACCCUAUAACUUUG